GUUAGGGUUAGGGUUAGGGUUAGGUUUUAGGAUUAGGGUUGGGGUAGGUUUUAGGUAUAUAUUCCCUGUUACCUCCCCUUAAUAUGAUGCUCCGAUUGUAUAUGAGUCCCAUCCCCAGGUGAGUAUAUUUAUGCGUUUUCUGUCUGUUUUGGCAGGUCCAGGAGGGCGAGCGAGGGAGAGUGAGAGCCGUAAGAGGAUUGGAGGCACUGGCUGGUUAGGUUUGGGGGUAGGUUUUAGGCCCCCUGGAUGUCUGGUGCCCAAUUUGGAGAUCCAAAGGAGCUCCGCCCGGUGGCGUUGGGCGAGGCUCCAUUUGGGAUCCGUCUCUACGACAGUCGCCCGGACGGAAGACCACCCGUGUCGGAGAAAAUGCUGAACCAGACUAUGAAGGGCCUCGACUUCUCCGCGUGUCAAAUUGGGAGCGACCGCAGGUGCGCAACCCGAACCGGACAUGGAGAGCCCGUCGGACCGGACCAUAGCCUGGAAUUCCGGAG
Non-coding RNA from Nerophis lumbriciformis (worm pipefish), 491 nucleotides. The record is from RefSeq and is a predicted model, not a curated record. NCBI's taxonomy places the organism in Eukaryota, Metazoa, Chordata, Actinopteri, Syngnathiformes, Syngnathidae.